AACUAUGGUUUUAGACCUUCAGUGAACCUGUAGAGCUGACGCUGGUGAUGAAUGUUUAGCCAGAUAAUUACUCCUGAUGGAUAGUCAGGUAAACAUCCUCAGUUGUAAACUUCUAUUUCAAUUGAUGCUUUGAUCUUUCAUAUGAACGUGUGAUGAAUUUUGUAGCACGCGAUCAUGUAUUCUGAAAGAUGUUUAAGUGCUGAGGACAAAGAGAAGACACACAGAAGGACAGACACAGAAGGACUGAACAGAAGGACAGACACAGAAGGACUGAGCUGGAGAGGGACUGAGCUGAAGAGUCGGGUUUGAGCUAAGGAGAACUGAGCUAAAAAGAUCUGGGCUGAGAAGAAAUGCAGAGAGGAAUAACUUAGAGACUAUAGGUAACAUAAGAGAGCAAUGUGCAGAAUGCAGAGGAAAAGAGGAAAAAAGAAGAAGCUGGAGAGAGCAGAAGGAGCAGGCAGGUUUCUCCUUACCAUGGGACAGAACAGGCCAUUUCUCAAUAGUAAGGCAGGCUUAGUCUUAUUAAAAGGAACAAACCUUUUCUCUUACAAACUUGGGUUUAAUUCACUUAGCAUUAAAAGUGUAGAAGCGAUUUCUUUCUCUAUGUAAUAAAGAUUGGAGC
This 622-nucleotide long non-coding RNA is filed under the name Rattus norvegicus (Norway rat). RNAcentral describes it as "long non-coding RNA NONRATT006676". The record is from RNAcentral. Lineage: Eukaryota; Metazoa; Chordata; Mammalia; Rodentia; Muridae.